UGAUCCUGGCUCAGAUUGAACGCUGGCGGCAGGCCUAACACAUGCAAGUCGAACGGUAACAGGAAGAAGCUUGCUUCUUUGCUGACGAGUGGCGGACGGGUGAGUAAUGUCUGGGAAACUGCCUGAUGGAGGGGGAUAACUACUGGAAACGGUAGCUAAUACCGCAUAACGUCGCAAGACCAAAGAGGGGGACCUUCGGGCCUCUUGCCAUCGGAUGUGCCCAGAUGGGAUUAGCUAGUAGGUGGGGUAACGGCUCACCUAGGCGACGAUCCCUAGCUGGUCUGAGAGGAUGACCAGCCACACUGGAACUGAGACACGGUCCAGACUCCUACGGGAGGCAGCAGUGGGGAAUAUUGCACAAUGGGCGCAAGCCUGAUGCAGCCAUGCCGCGUGUAUGAAGAAGGCCUUCGGGUUGUAAAGUACUUUCAGCGGGGAGGAAGGGAGUAAAGUUAAUACCUUUGCUCAUUGACGUUACCCGCAGAAGAAGCACCGGCUAACUCCGUGCCAGCAGCCGCGGUAAUACGGAGGGUGCAAGCGUUAAUCGGAAUUACUGGGCGUAAAGCGCACGCAGGCGGUUUGUUAAGUCAGAUGUGAAAUCCCCGGGCUCAACCUGGGAACUGCAUCUGAUACUGGCAAGCUUGAGUCUCGUAGAGGGGGGUAGAAUUCCAGGUGUAGCGGUGAAAUGCGUAGAGAUCUGGAGGAAUACCGGUGGCGAAGGCGGCCCCCUGGACGAAGACUGACGCUCAGGUGCGAAAGCGUGGGGAGCAAACAGGAUUAGAUACC
RNAcentral lists this ribosomal RNA (783 nucleotides) under uncultured bacterium. RNAcentral describes it as "bacterial SSU rRNA". It matches the Rfam family "Bacterial small subunit ribosomal RNA", at positions 14 to 786 of the family's 1533-position model. The record is from RNAcentral.